Molecule: ribosomal RNA, 254 nt
Filed under: uncultured bacterium
Lineage: Bacteria
Description: partial 16S ribosomal RNA
Rfam family: Bacterial small subunit ribosomal RNA
Source: RNAcentral
UACGAGGGGGGCAAAUGUUGUUCGGAAUCACUGGGCGUAAAGGGAGCGUAGGCGGGUUUUUAAGUCAGGUGUUUAAUCCCGGGGCCCAACCCCGGACCGGCACUUGAAACUGGGAAUCUUGAAUAGUGGAGAGGUCAGUGGAAUUGGGGGUGUAGCGGUGGGAAUGCGUAGAGAUCCCCAAGAACACCAGUUGCGAAGGCGGCUGACUGGACACAUAUUGACGCUGAGGCUCGAAAGCAUGGGGAGCAAACAGG